Molecule: long non-coding RNA, 327 nt
Filed under: Ananas comosus (pineapple)
Lineage: Eukaryota; Viridiplantae; Streptophyta; Magnoliopsida; Poales; Bromeliaceae
Description: long non-coding RNA (ACOM_LNC021153)
Source: RNAcentral
AUUGAUGACGUACCUAUUGCUGAGCUCGAUUGGGAUUAUGGCCGUAGACGUAGAUGUGGUCGUGCACGAGGACGUGGCCGAGGACGUCGAGGGAGAGGAAGAUCGAGAGACUGAUUGUAUCUUGUUGAUUCAGAUCGCAUACUUUGUAUAAUAUUAUAUAUUACUUUAUUUAGUUUAUAUUUGUAUAUUUGUUUGUGUUUUUAUUGAUAUUUUUAUCCGGUUGAUUUAUCUUGUUAUUCCACUUGUCUUGUUGUGUUUCUUGUUGAAAUAUUUGUUCUCGUAAAAAUUCUUGCCUCAAACUUGUUCAAAUUGUUUUUAAAAUCGAGC